GAUGAUGAUUGCCUUAGGUUUCGAAGCUUGUGGUUGUUAAGUUUGCUUGACCAUGUGCUUGGAUUCGUUGUUGGCCAGAAAAUUUCCCAUUUCUGAUUAA
RNAcentral lists this small nucleolar RNA (100 nucleotides) under Drosophila yakuba. Its description in RNAcentral is "snoRNA:GE26995". The record is from RNAcentral. Lineage: Eukaryota; Metazoa; Arthropoda; Insecta; Diptera; Drosophilidae.